RNAcentral lists this long non-coding RNA (397 nucleotides) under Homo sapiens (human). Its description in RNAcentral is "HSALNT0308423". Lineage: Eukaryota; Metazoa; Chordata; Mammalia; Primates; Hominidae. The record is from RNAcentral.
CUUUAGUGUCUGAUUUAAGGGAAGACAGCUGGAUUCUUAUAUCUCCUUCUGCAUUCAAUCUGUUGUGCCUAUUUUGGUUUAUGUAGAAACUGGGCCUCAUACAAAUAUGUAGCUGGAAAAGAAAGGAUCAUUUUAAUACUCUUUUCAGAACCAUCAUACAUCAGAAGUGCUUCAUGUGUACUUCCUAUUUUGUCACAUAGAAUAUUAAAGAUACAUAAAGGAAAUGAUGACACUUAUUAGUUGGCUUGGAUUUUAAAAUAUAAAGAUCGUAUUGAAGGUAGAUGGAUAGGAGGUGAAGUAUUUGAAAUGCGGCAUUGGACCUGGGCUUACAAACUCCAGGUGUGAUUCCUCCUCUUACCAGCUCUUUCACCUUCUGUGAGGUGAGCUACCUCUUUGA